UGAAUUUGGAGCCUAUUUUGUUCUUUAUUAUAUUUUGACAAUAACAUCUCAAAAUGUUUAUAACAAUAUUUGUUUUCCUCUCUUUGAUUACAGAAGCUGUUCUGGGGGUGACACUGGAGCAAAAGUAUCUCUCCGUGACAAAAGGGAAGGAAAAAACUGUGGAGAUCUCCUGCAGUGUUAAAGGAUUAUCCACAGAUUAUGUCCACUGGUACCAUAAGAAAGACGGUGAAGAAGUUCUCAAACGGAUCCUUUAUGUCAAAAAAGGCAGCCAACCUGUUCAUGAUAAUAACUAUUCUGGAGCAGAAAAGUUUACAGUGAAAAUAAAGGAUGAUGAUUAUAAUCUGAAUAUACAAAAGCUUGAAGAAAGUCACUCAGGGGUUUAUUACUGCGCCAGCUGGGAAAGCACCCACAGUGACAGUAAAUAUUUACAGUAUGUACAAAAACCCUAA
Non-coding RNA from Clarias gariepinus (North African catfish), 449 nucleotides. The record is from the annotation of a RefSeq genome assembly. Lineage: Eukaryota; Metazoa; Chordata; Actinopteri; Siluriformes; Clariidae.